AUCAUGUGUCAGGAACCUUUGGCCCUCCAGAUGUUGCCAUCAGCCCCAGCAAUCAUGGGAGUUGUUGUUUAGCAACAUCUGGAGGGCCAAAGGUUCCCCAUACAUGAU
Molecule: non-coding RNA, 108 nt
Organism: Podarcis lilfordi (Lilford's wall lizard)
Lineage: Eukaryota; Metazoa; Chordata; Lepidosauria; Squamata; Lacertidae
Source: the annotation of a GenBank genome assembly